GACGAACGCUGGCGGCGUGCCUAACACAUGCAAGUCAACUUGACUGAAGGAGCAAUCUGACAGUAGAGUGGCGCAAGGGUGCGUAACGCGUAAGUAACUUGCCCCAAGGUAAGGAAUAACGCCGAGAAAUCGGCGCUAAUACCUCAUAAUGCAGCGGAUCCGCAUGGAUAUGUUGUUAAAGGUUUACCGCCUUGGGAUAGGCUUGCGUCUGAUUAGCUAGUUGGUGUGGUAACGGCACACCAAGGCUACGAUCAGUAACUGGUCUGAGAGGAUGAUCAGUCACACUGGAACUGAGACACGGUCCAGACUCCUACGGGAGGCAGCAGUGAGGAAUAUUGGGCAAUGCUCGAAAGAGUGACCCAGCAACGCCGCGUGGAGGAUGAAGGUAUUCUAUAUCGUAAACUCCUGUGAGAGCAGACGAAAGACAGAUUAUUAAUACUGGAUGACUGUAUGCUCAGAGGAAGCCCCGGCUAACUACG
RNAcentral lists this ribosomal RNA (479 nucleotides) under uncultured bacterium. Its description in RNAcentral is "bacterial SSU rRNA". It matches the Rfam family "Bacterial small subunit ribosomal RNA", at positions 28 to 505 of the family's 1533-position model. The record is from RNAcentral.